RNAcentral lists this ribosomal RNA (216 nucleotides) under uncultured Actinomycetales bacterium. Its description in RNAcentral is "partial 16S ribosomal RNA". It matches the Rfam family "Bacterial small subunit ribosomal RNA", at positions 114 to 334 of the family's 1533-position model. The record is from RNAcentral. Lineage: Bacteria; Bacillati; Actinomycetota; Actinomycetes; Actinomycetales.
CACGUGGGUGAUCUGCCCUGCACUUCGGGAUAAGCUUGGGAAACUGGGUCUAAUACCGGAUAGGAGCCAUCUUUAGUGUGGUGGUUGGAAAGUUUUUCGGUGUAGGAUGAGCUCGCGGCCUAUCAGCUUGUUGGUGGGGUAAUGGCCUACCAAGGCGGCGACGGGUAGCCGGCCUGAGAGGGUGUACGGCCACAUUGGGACUGAGAUACGGCCCAG